UGGCAAUUCUGUGUAAUUUUGUUUAUCAGACAGAGAGCCAUCGGGUGCAAGCUCCACGACAGCAGAGGCGGAAGCAGAGCAACACGAGAAGGUCUGCGAUGCAUGUCGGGUAUCGGAUGAGCAUCAGUCGUUCCUCAUAGUGGCAAAUAAUCGGCGUCAUCUUGGACUCGUCAUUGUCCUCUGCGGUGUUGUUUGACUAUCCACGUAUAGCCUGUGAGUUGCAGUCAAGUGGUAAGAGGUGCUUUGCAUCUGAUUAACUGUUGUAUUGGACUCAUUGGUAACCCUUUGAGUCAGUGAUGUACUAGAUUUGACUGAACUGUCCUUUACCAUGUAUUGUAUAAGAUGUUGUACUAAUGCCUUGUAUGUGAUUGUAUAUUGUAGCAGACAUGGUGUUGCAUUUUGUGCCUGUGUACGGUAUCGGAACAGGUUGUUGCAUAUCGUUACCACACACUUGAACUAUGUUUGAAUUGGACUGUGUAUCAUAUCACGGAAUCGAGUAGCCUAACGGAUUUGAGUCGGUAUCACAUUCCAUCUUUGGUCAAAUCAUAAUCGCAUUUCAAUCUCUACAACCUGCCAUAGUCGCAUGGUAUGAGACUCGGUGCCACAUUUGACCCGGUAGCGGUGUGUUGUAUGUGAAUCGGUGGUGUAAUAGACUCUGUCACACGGUACGUAGCAGUGUUUUGUAUGAGACUUUGGUGCCGUCUCGCAUUACAUCCGGUUUUGUAAUGCUGAUUGAACAUUUAUUAUAUUGGACCCAUUAGCGCUGCGACGGAUGGGACCGGGUAUCGUAAUAGUCUUUGUAUUAGCGAAUCGCAUGGGAACGUUCACGUUUGAUUUGUCGCGGUCGGUUCAGCCGUUACCGGGUGCCGUAUUUGACUUUGCGUUCUCACACGAGCAUUUUAUGCAUGUAGUACGGGAGCCGUUCACAUUGCAUUCCAUUUGCUUUGUUGUGGCAGUAUUUUAUUGUUAUUUUGCAGUAUCUUAAAAUGAAUUAUGACAAUUUGUGUUUCUACACUGUCUCUGUAUCACUGAUUCAUUGUUUUCAAUCAUGUAGCGUAUGAGAGUCUGUAUUACUGUAUUGCACGUGAUGUGUUCUAUUAGACCUGUUGCGUUUGGAGGGUGCGGGGCUCAUCGUACCUAACCCAUAGUCACAUAACUAUAUCUCGCAUCUUCGCUACGCAUCACCUUCGACUCGUUUACGGGGGAUCGUCCGAGACUCGGCAUCACAUUGGACCCAUCGUCGCCUCACGUUCGACGUGGCGUCGUAUCGGACAGAGUGCCGUGCAUCGCUACGCAUCGUACGGGAGUCAUCGGUGUCACCUGGUCGUUGUCAGUGCCAUAACGGGCUCAAUAGUUGUAUUUUACCCUGUAUUGUUUAAGACUCGGUGUUUAAUGCAUUAUGUAUUAGAUGUUA
This is a long non-coding RNA of Apus apus (common swift), 1414 nucleotides long. RefSeq lists it as uncharacterized. The record is from RefSeq and is a predicted model, not a curated record. The transcript is spliced from 3 exons. NCBI's taxonomy places the organism in Eukaryota, Metazoa, Chordata, Aves, Apodiformes, Apodidae.